GGACUACAGGGGUAUCUAAUCCUGUUUGCUCCCCACGCUUUCGCGCCUCAGCGUCAGUAUCUACCCAGGUCGCCGCCUUCGCCACCGGUGUUCCUCCCGAUAUCUACGAAUUUCACCUCUACACCGGGAAUUCCGCGACCCUCUUUAGUACUCUAGCUACUCAGUUUCGGGUGCACUUCCUCAGUUAAGCCGAGGGCUUUCACAUCCGACUUGAGUAACCGCCUACGCGCGCUUUACGCCCAAUAAUUCCGAGCAACGUUUGCACCCCAUGUAUUACCGCGGCGGCUGGCAC
RNAcentral lists this ribosomal RNA (292 nucleotides) under uncultured bacterium. Its description in RNAcentral is "partial 16S ribosomal RNA". The record is from RNAcentral.